CCUACGGGAGGCUGCAGUAACGAAUCUUCCGCAAUGCACGAAAGUGUGACGGAGCGACGCCGCGUGUGGGACGAAGCCCUUCGGGGUGUAAACCACUGUCAGGGGCGGCGCCCCAGAGGAAGGCACGGCUAACUCUGUGCCAGCAGCCGCGGUAAGACAGAGGUGCCGAGCGUUAGGCGGAAUCACUGGGCUUAAAGCGUGUGUAGGCGGGCGGGCAAGUACCUUGUGAAAUCCCACGGCUCAACCGUGGAACUGCUGGGUAUACUGCCUGUCUUGAGCCAGCUAGGGGCGGUCGGAACAGACGGUGGAGCGGUGAAAUGCGUGAUAUCGUCUGGAACGCCAAAGGUGAAAACAGACCGCUGGCUGUGCUGACGCUGAGACACGAAAGCCAGGGGAGGAACGGGAUUAGAUACCCUUGUAGUC
Molecule: ribosomal RNA, 423 nt
Filed under: uncultured bacterium
Lineage: Bacteria
Description: partial 16S ribosomal RNA
Rfam family: Bacterial small subunit ribosomal RNA
Source: RNAcentral